UGCGUAGGCGGAUUAAUAAGUCAGUGGUGAAAUCUUUCGGCUCAACCGAGAAACUGCCAUUGAUACUGUUAAUCUUGAGUUCGGUUGAGGUAGGCGGAAUGUGUAAUGUAGCGGUGAAAUGCUUAGAUAUUACACAGAACACCAAUUGCGUAGGCAGCUUACUAGACCGACACUGACGCUGAGGCACGAAAGCGUGGGGAGCGAACAGGAUUAGAUACCCGAGUAGUCC
This 229-nucleotide ribosomal RNA is filed under the name uncultured bacterium. RNAcentral describes it as "partial 16S ribosomal RNA". It matches the Rfam family "Bacterial small subunit ribosomal RNA", at positions 568 to 796 of the family's 1533-position model. The record is from RNAcentral.